GUGUCAGCAGCCGCGGUAAUACGUAGGUGGCAAGCGUUGUCCGGAUUUAUUGGGUUUAAAGGGUGCGUAGGCGGCUUAUUAAGUCAGUGGUGAAAUACUCUAGCUCAACUAGAGGGGUGCCAUUGAUACUGAUGAGCUUGAGUACAGAUGAGGUAGGCGGAAUUGACGGUGUAGCGGUGAAAUGCUUAGAUAUCGUCAAGAACACCUAUAGCGAAGGCAGCUUACUAGGCUGUAACUGACGCUGAGGCACGAAAGUGUGGGGAUCAAACAGGAUUAGAUACCCUGGUAGUCC
This 292-nucleotide ribosomal RNA is filed under the name uncultured bacterium. RNAcentral's name for it is "partial 16S ribosomal RNA". It matches the Rfam family "Bacterial small subunit ribosomal RNA", at positions 505 to 796 of the family's 1533-position model. The record is from RNAcentral.